GACGCUGGCGGCGUGCCUAAUACAUGCAAGUCGAACGGUCUUUCUAUGGAAGCUUGCUUCCACUGAGAAGAUAGUGGCGAACGGGUGAGUAACACGUGGGUAACCUGCCCAUAAGAGGGGGAUAACAUCCGGAAACGGGUGCUAAUACCGCAUAGUUUUCUUGAUCGCAUGAUCGGGAAAGGAAAGACGGCCUUUGUGCUGUCGCUUAUGGAUGGACCCGCGGCGUAUUAGUUAGUUGGUGAGGUAACGGCUCACCAAGACGAUGAUACGUAGCCGACCUGAGAGGGUGAUCGGCCACAUUGGGACUGAGACACGGCCCAAACUCCUACGGGAGGCAGCAGUAGGGAAUCUUCCGCAAUGGACGAAAGUCUGACGGAGCAACGCCGCGUGAGUGAAGAAAGGGUUUUCGGAUCGUAAAACUCUGUUGUCAGAGAAGAACAAGUUGGAGAGUAACUGCUCCAGCCUUGACGGUAUCUGACCAGAAAGCCACGGCUAACUACGUGCCAGCCGCGGC
This 514-nucleotide ribosomal RNA is filed under the name uncultured bacterium. RNAcentral's name for it is "bacterial SSU rRNA". It matches the Rfam family "Bacterial small subunit ribosomal RNA", at positions 32 to 518 of the family's 1533-position model. The record is from RNAcentral.